CACCAAGCAGCUAGCCCCCCUAAAAACCCCCCCCCCCAACAAUAAAACAUUAAUAACCCUUAAAAUUCUAUAUUUAUCCUAAAUAAAUCAUUCUUUUUCCCCAGUACAGGCGAUAGAAAAGGACCUUGUGAGCAAUAGACUAAGUACCGCGAGGGAAAGCUGAAAUAGAAAUGAAACAACCCAUACAAGCCCUGAAAAGCAGAGACUAACUCUCGUACCUUUUGCAUCAUGAUUUAGCCAGUGUGCCCCAAGCAAAGAGCACUAUAGUUUGAUAGCCCGAAACUAAGUGAGCUACUCCAAGACAACCUAUUAAUUUAGGGAAAACCCGUCUCUGUGGCAAAAGAGUGGGAAGAGCUUUGAGUAGAGGUGACAGAUCUCCCGAACUUAGUUAUAGCUGGUUGCCUGAUAAUUGGAUAAGAGUUCAGCCUCCCGGCUUCUUUACUGCCAGAAUGGCCCCCGUCACAUCAAACAUUAAAAGAAACCGAGAGAGUUACUCAAAGGGGGUACAGCCCCUUUGAGCCAAGACACAACUUUCCCAGCAGGGUAAAGAUCACAUUAGAUACAAGGAAGCACACUUUGGUGGGCCUAAAAGCAGCCACCCCCGUAGAAAGCGUUAAAGCUCCCGUAGCUUACCCCCCCCCCCUAUUAUCCCGAUAACAUAAUCCUAACCCCCUAUUUUUUACCAGGCCGUCCCACGCUAACGUGGGAGUGACCAUGCUAAUAUGAGUAACAAGAGAAGAUCUUAAUGAUUCUCUCCGAAUACACGUGUAACUCGGAUCGGACAACCCCCCGAAUAUUAACGGGCCCAACACCAGAGGGAAGUGAGUUCUACAAUGAAAAACCAGAAAAACACCCAACUACUAACCGUUAACCCAACACAGGUGUAUACCCUCGGAAAGACUAAAAGAAAGAGAAGGAACUCGGCAAACACACUGAACCUCGCCUGUUUACCAAAAACAUCGCCUCUUGAAGUAACAUCAUAAGAGGUCCCGCCUGCCCAGUGACUAUAUGUUUAACGGCCGCGGUAUCUUGACCGUGCAAAGGUAGCGCAAUCACUUGUCUUUUAAAUGAGGACCCGUAUGAAUGGCCUAACGAGGGCUCUACUGUCUCCUCUUUCCAGUCAAUGAAAUUGAUCUCCCCGUGCAGAAGCGGAGAUAUUAACAUAAGACGAGAAGACCCUAUGAAGCUUUAGACAUCAAGACAGACUAUUCUACUUUUUUCCCCCGCUUGAAGGGGUCAAACCCUAUAGCCCCUGUCCUUAAUGUCUUUGGUUGGGGUGACCCUGGAGAAUAAAACAACCUCCAUGUGGAAUGGGGGAACAACAUAUUUUUUGCCCCUACAGCCAAGAGCCCCCGCUCUAAGCAACAGAAAUUUUGACCACAGAUGAUCCGGCAGCGCCGAUCAACGAACCGAGUUACUCUAGGGAUAACAGCGCAAUCCCCUUCUAGAGCCCCUAUCGACAAGGGGGUUUACGACCUCGAUGUUGGAUCAGGACAUCCUAAUGGUGCAGCCGCUAUUAAGGGUUCGUUUGUUCAACGAUUAAAGUCCUACGUGAUCUGAGUUCAGACCGGAGUAAUCCAGGUCAGUUUCUAUCUAUGGCACGCCCUUUUCUAGUACGAAAGGACCGAAAAAGGAGGGCCCCUGCCCUAAGUAAGCCCUGACCCCACCUAAUAAAACCAUUAAAAAAGACAAAGGAGAGUACCCACAAGGCCGAAGAAUACGGCGAU
RNAcentral lists this ribosomal RNA (1727 nucleotides) under Centropristis striata (black sea bass). RNAcentral's name for it is "16S ribosomal RNA". The stretch from base 104 to 1619 matches the Rfam family "Bacterial large subunit ribosomal RNA". Lineage: Eukaryota; Metazoa; Chordata; Actinopteri; Perciformes; Serranidae. The record is from RNAcentral.